CCGGCUUAGGAUCGAUAAGAGCAUAAGAAACAUAAAAUAUAAAUGCAUAUAAAUAGUUCAAUAUGCAAAAUAGACUAACACCACUAGCCACGAGAUAAUACUAUAACCAUAAGAUAAUACUAUUAAAGCUAUAUAUCCGAAAUCAUAGAUAUCACUCAACAUCACAAAUAAGAAACUUCAGACACAAAUAAAGAACGCUCUCCUACUAUUACCGACACACUUCCACCCCU
RNAcentral lists this long non-coding RNA (230 nucleotides) under Capsicum annuum. RNAcentral's name for it is "long non-coding RNA (CANN_LNC007943)". Lineage: Eukaryota; Viridiplantae; Streptophyta; Magnoliopsida; Solanales; Solanaceae. The record is from RNAcentral.